ACCUACGGGGGGCAGCAGUAGGGAAUUUUCGUCAAUGGGCGCAAGCCUGAACGAGCAAUGCCGCGUGAACGAGGAAGGUCUUCGGAUUGUAAAGUUCUGUUGAAGGGGAAAAAGAGCGGAGAGAGGAAAUGGUCUCCGAUUGAUAUUACCCUUCGAGGAAGUCACGGCUAACUACGUGCCAGCAGCCGCGGUAAUACGUAGGUGGCGAGCGUUAUCCGGAAUGAUUGGGCGUAAAGGGUGCGUAGGCGGCCUGCUAAGUCUGGAGUGAAAGGUACCGGCUCAACCGGUACAGGCUCUGGAAACUG
Molecule: ribosomal RNA, 305 nt
Filed under: uncultured bacterium
Lineage: Bacteria
Description: bacterial SSU rRNA
Rfam family: Bacterial small subunit ribosomal RNA
Source: RNAcentral